ACAGUUCAGUUUGAGCGAUCUUCGAGGCGACUUCAAGAGUGAAAACUAGUGAUCAAGAGUGUGGUACCAGUGAAACCUACGACAUUGGCUACGACUGAGGACAUCGUGAGUGCUUAGUGUUUGAACUUAGUGCUUAGUGUUUGAACCUAGUGCUUUGUGUUGGACCUAGUGUUAGUGAAUAAAGUCUUGAAAAGAGUCAGCAGGUCUUUCUCUCCAAAUCCUUCGAACCCUAACACGUAACAAUAUUU
This 248-nucleotide unclassified non-coding RNA is filed under the name Melitaea cinxia (Glanville fritillary). RNAcentral describes it as "misc RNA ENSMCXG00005016672.1". The record is from RNAcentral. Lineage: Eukaryota; Metazoa; Arthropoda; Insecta; Lepidoptera; Nymphalidae.